RNAcentral lists this unclassified non-coding RNA (278 nucleotides) under plant metagenome. Its description in RNAcentral is "partial contains small subunit ribosomal RNA, internal transcribed spacer 1, and 5.8S ribosomal RNA". The record is from RNAcentral.
UUUCCGUAGGUGAACCUGCGGAAGGAUCAUUGUCGAAGCCUGCCCAGCAGAACGACCCGCGAACUUGUAUAAACAACCGGGGGCAGGGGCGAUCUCGCCCCGUGCCCUCGGACGGCAGGGAGACACUCGUGCCUUGUCGAACAACGAACCCCGGCGCGGUCUGCGCCAAGGAACUUCAAUUAAAGAGUGCCUCCGGUCGCCUCGGAAACGAUGCGCGUGUCGGAGGCGAAUCUUGUACAAAACCAUAACGACUCUCGGCAACGGAUAUCUCGGCUCUC